GGGGACGCUACCGGCCGUGUGCAGGCAGUUCUGGUGGAGAGAGAAGAAGGCACACCUGUAAGAACAUCGAGUCCAUCCGAUCAUCGAUCGGGCACACCGAAAAGUCAAGCCAAUCUUCUUCUUCUAAGUUAAGUGGCGCUGGACAGGACUAAGGUUGAAGAUGACCGGUCACUUCACGCUUGUUCUGGUGCUGAUGGUCCUGGCUGGAGCCGUGUAUCCAGCCAAGAGCCAAUGGCAGGGACAACAACUCAAGGAUAAAGAUGCUUCAUCUGCAAUCAAGGAAGCUGAACUUCUGCUUAAAGAGCUUGAAGAUCUGGUUAUGUUGGGUGACAACAAUAACGGUGGUGAUCAUGACAUGGCCAUACAGCCCGGAAAACGACAGUCUG
Long non-coding RNA from Branchiostoma floridae (Florida lancelet), 386 nucleotides. RefSeq lists it as uncharacterized. The record is from RefSeq and is a predicted model, not a curated record. The transcript is spliced from 4 exons. Lineage: Eukaryota; Metazoa; Chordata; Leptocardii; Amphioxiformes; Branchiostomatidae.